This is a long non-coding RNA of Micropterus dolomieu (smallmouth bass), 3791 nucleotides long. RefSeq lists it as uncharacterized. The record is from RefSeq and is a predicted model, not a curated record. NCBI's taxonomy places the organism in Eukaryota, Metazoa, Chordata, Actinopteri, Centrarchiformes, Centrarchidae. The transcript is spliced from 3 exons.
UCUGCUUUAAAUUGUUUUGUUCAUUUUAAUUGUCCCCAUUCAGGCUCAAACAGAUGGUUACCAGUCCACACAUUCCAUAAUUCCAGCUGUUAAAGGUAUUUCCACCUAAUGUCUACUGUUACAACCCUAUGGGUCGUGUGUUUGGGUUGGGUUGUGUGUUCCUUCUCCCUCUCAGGUAGUGGCCCUCCCCCCCUAUGCUUGGCUGCAUGAGUGAGUGGCAGCAGGUGUGCCUGAUCACCACUCAGUGCCUGGAGGAUAAGAAGGCUUGGUUUUUUCACAGCACUUGGUCUGUUUCCCUUUCUACCUGUUGUGACCACACUGCAGACCAACACCCGUGAGCAGACCACUGCAAGCUGACUGAGGCAGCCCAUUCAACCAGUGGGUUGAACACCAGCGUAGAGCUUCUAUUUACCAAGCAGAACAACAACUUCCAAUGCAGUGGACCUGUAAGUACUGAACAUUUUGUGCUAAAAAGGGAGGCUACUUACUUAAGCAUCAAUGCUUAAAACAUGGAUGACCCGCUCUGAUAUCACCACUCCCAUGCCUUCACAAGGAAUGCCUGUGAAUGUUUAAAUCUUUCAAUGCUCUCAAGGUACACCUAUCAACAUGGCACAUUCAAAAGAAUCUAGGCAAAGUUAGUGAAACUGCAUUCCACUGUCAGCUGUGCGACUUUGUGGAGCCUUGCUCUGAAGGUGACUUUUUCACCCAUUUGCGAAGACAUUUGAAACUGAUUCAAAACAUAGUCAAGAUGUUGAUGACUCUUUAGUGAGUGAGAUCGCUAGAGUAGUUACUGACAAUGUUUUCCUGAAAUACACUUCAACUUGGGGAUCAUUGUCAACUGCUUGCUAGCGAACAUCAUACAUUGCAAAAUAAUUCUGUGGUAAUGCCUAAUGAGUUUGUCCUUUAAAAAUGACAAGCAGACAGUUGUGUAUGUUCCCAUCCUAAAAAUGCUGCAGACAUUGCUAAGCAAUGGAGAUAUUUUGGAUAAGGCCAUGUCACCUGAGAAAUGUCACAGGGAUACAAAUCUUACAGGGAUGGUUCUCACUUUAAAGACAACUCUUGGUCUCUGAUUGUACAUGGAUGACUUUGAGGUGGCUAACCCCUUGGGAACCUCAAGAAAGAAACGCAAGCUAUGUGCCAUCUACUGGGUACUUGGCAAUCUGCAUCCUAAAUAUCGCUCCUCUUUUCGUUCCAUUCAGCUUACUCUGCUUUGCAAGGUCAACAGCAUCAAAGACCAUGGUUAUGGUGAAAUUCUUCACCCUCUUAUUCAGGACCUUGUUUCACUUGAGCAACAUGGUGUACAUGUUGAACAGUUAGGAGCGAGCAUAAAAGGCACUGUAUUUGUCGCAGCAGACAAUUUAGCUGCCCAUUCUUUGGGAGGGUUCGUUGAAAGCUUCAGUUACCAGAUGUGUAGAUUCUGUAUGGCCAAGGGGGGGAAAUACAACACAAGGAAGUGAGGACAGGCUCAUUCCAACCAAGAACAAAAGAAAAUCAUGACAGACAUGUGCAAGACAUAUUGCAGGAUUCUACCAUGGCUCAACAAUAUGGUGUAAAAGGAAGCUGCCCAUUCAGUAAAAACUGACAACAUUUUCAUGUUGUCAGCUGAACUGGCCUUGUGCUUGAAGGCACUGAUAUCAAAGGGAUACUUCUCACUUGAAACCCUGAACGAACAGAACGAACAAACCAAACCCCAGCUCAUCAGAAAGGACUUUCCCUCCAAGGGAUCGAUUGGAGGAAAUGCUCAUGAAAAUUAGACACUUCUGCCACUACUAAUUGGUCAUCAUAUUACUGAAGGGGAUGAAACUUGGGAGGUUUUAAUGAACUUAAAAGAUGUAGUGGAAUUGUCAGUGUCCGCAAGCUUUACAGAGGAGUCUAUGUACUUUCUUGAUUGCAAGAUCACAGAACAGAUUCAUUUCAGAAAGCUUUCCAGAAUGGAAAAACUACGGCCAAAGCACCACGUCAUUGAGCACUACCCUCAGUUAAUUCAAACUUUUGGUCCAUUAUCUGAUGUGUGGACAAUGCGUUUAGAAGGAAAACACAAGUUUUUCAAAAGUUGUGCGUCAUGCUCAGAAUUUCAAGAACAUACCUCUUACCGUAGCUCUCAGACACCAGAAAAUGAUAGCCUUCCAUUUAGCUACUACCUCCUUUUUCAAGCCUGUUGAAAUUAAUAAAUUAAAGUCUGUGAUGGUUGCUUCAUUUCCUGAAAAUGUGCAGAACUGUCUGUAUCACAGGAAUGCCCAGCAGAACACAGUCCUUGUAGCAUCUUCCAUCUGCAUAGAUGGCAUUAAGUACAGUGCUGAUAUGGUCAUUUCACUUGGAUCUUGCUCUGGGCUCCCAGAUUUCAGACAAAUAGCAAAGAUUGUGGUGAUCAAUACCGACAUACUAUUUGUCUGCAGACUUAUGACCUCAUGGUAUGAUGAGCAUCUUAGAGCAUAUGAGCUCAGUAGCAGCCACUUGUCCACCUUUACGUCACCCAGUUGGCUGAAGUGAAUGAUGUUUUCCCCCCUGUCACUUUACAGAGUUAGAGGCAAACAGCAGCUUGUUACACUUAAACAGUAUAUAUUAUGCUGAGUGAUGUGAACACUGAUGUUGUAAUCUUACACGGCUAGCUCCCUUUUCUCAGAAUGAGUCAUAAAAAUGGACCAAAGGAUAUUGCUGAGAGUUGUCAUCGAUGAAGAUGAUAUAAGAAAGUUCACUUUAAAUGAGAGACCAGAUUCCAUUGAAGAUUUUAAAAAGUCAACUGAAGGAGAAACUGUUGCUGCAGUAUGACUUGAUAUGAUGCAAUAUGAAGAUCAAGACUUCAAUAAUGCCCUCUGCAAUUUAACUGAAAUAACAGACUUACCUGAAAGAGAGACCCUGAAAAUCAUCCCUGUUACUCUCGAAUUAACAGCCCUGUCAUCACCCACCACAACAUCAGACACUGAGUGCAGCAUAGCAGACACUGAGGUACAGUCAACUGCUGGAACCUCACCAAUGCGAAGACAACAAUGGCCAGAGUUCUUUGACAUACCCAGUUUCGCAGUUGAUGUUCAGUACAGACUCAGACAGGGAGAUCUUGCGUUUUUGAAAGAUGGAACAUGUAUGACUCCAACGCGAGAUAUGACAAUGUACAGUUUCAAGGCUUAUCCUGAAGAUGUAUGGCUGGAAAAACAGCCUUAAAUUUAAGAUGGCCAACUAUUGUACAAAGUUUCGGAAAGCUGGAUGUGAGGAUGUAGCAAUCAAUGGGGGUAAAAGAAGUAAAGUCAACCCAGGGGGAGAAUCAUGAGCGGGAACAUCAAACGGCCAAAAAGAGGUGAAGCAAAUUAUCUGCCUAAUUUACCUGACGGACAUGAUGAAGCAAGCCUCAAAAAUGGCAGAAAGAUCGUCAAAAAGGAGCCUGCUGUACAGAACGAUGGCCAGCACUUUUCAUGGAGAGACAGGUAAGCUUCUAUUUAUGUCCUAAUUAGUGCCUGAAAGGUUUACCAUGUCUGAUUUGUUUGAAAAUAGUAUUAUAUUUUAGCGUGCUCGGAGUGUUCCUUGUCUUUCUAUCCUGUUAGCUAUAAUGGUUGCUUGUUUGCACAACAGUUAUGAAUCGAAUCAUAGUCUACUUAAUGUGCUGUUCUCCAUUUCUCCUCCCACAACUGUACUAUUUCAGGUAUUUGCUGAGUUUAAUAGAAUUGCCUGUAAGGAUCUUGAGAGAGACUUCUUUGAAGCUCUUGACCAGCACACCCCACGUUUCAUUGAACUCUUCAAGUCAAAAAAAGAGCUGUUGGACAGAAACUGACAGAGCUAAUGCAGCACAUCAACUUGGU